AUUGAACGCUGGCGGCAGGCUUAACACAUGCAAGUCGAGCGGGGUGAUGGUGCUUGCACUAUCACUUAGCGGCGGACGGGUGAGUAAUGCUUAGGAAUCUGCCUAUUAGUGGGGGACAACGUCUCGAAAGGGAUGCUAAUACCGCAUACGUCCUACGGGAGAAAGCAGGGGAUCACUUGUGACCUUGCGCUAAUAGAUGAGCCUAAGUCGGAUUAGCUAGUUGGUGGGGUAAAGGCCUACCAAGGCGACGAUCUGUAGCGGGUCUGAGAGGAUGAUCCGCCACACUGGGACUGAGACACGGCCCAGACUCCUACGGGAGGCAGCAGUGGGGAAUAUUGGACGAUGGGGGAACCCUGAUCCAGCCAUGCCGCGUGUGUGAAGAAGGCCUUAUGGUUGUAAAGCACUUUAAGCGAGGAGGAGGCUCUUUUGGUUAAUAUCCAAGAUGAGUGGACGUUACUCGCAGAAUAAGCACCGGCUAACUCUGUGCCAGCCGCCGCGGUAA
Molecule: ribosomal RNA, 502 nt
Filed under: uncultured bacterium
Lineage: Bacteria
Description: partial 16S ribosomal RNA
Rfam family: Bacterial small subunit ribosomal RNA
Source: RNAcentral